This is a non-coding RNA of Sus scrofa (pig), 2511 nucleotides long. Lineage: Eukaryota; Metazoa; Chordata; Mammalia; Artiodactyla; Suidae. The record is from RefSeq and is a predicted model, not a curated record.
CACGCCUCUUACGUCUGGACGCUGGGUCGCCUCAGGAGGUCCAGUAAUCGCCGCCCAGAGGGAAGGAGGGUGGCGGUGCUAGGAGCUGCUAUGGUGCAGAGUUCCCCGGCAGAGCCGACCCGGACGCAGCGGUCGCGGCCAUGAAGGCGGGUGCCACAUCUAUGUGGGCUUCGUGCUGUGGGCUGUUGAAUGAAGUCAUGGGGACCGGAGCUGUCAGGGGCCAGCAGUCAAGAUUUGCAGGAGGCACCGGUCCAUUCAGAUUUACACCAAACUCUGAUUUUUCUGCUUACCCACCAGCACCUACAGAAGGGCCUAAUAUAGUUUGCAAAGCCUGUGGACUUUCAUUUUCAGUCUUUAGAAAAAAGCACGUAUGUUGUGACUGCAAGAAGGAUUUUUGCUCCGUUUGUUCAGUCUUGCAAGAAAAUCUCCGUAGAUGUUCCACUUGUCACUUACUACAAGAGACGGCCUUUCAGCGCCCUCAGUUAAUGCGACUCAAAGUGAAGGAUCUACGGCAGUAUCUCAUUCUUAGAAACAUCCCCAUCGAUACCUGCCGAGAGAAGGAAGACUUGGUAGAUCUCGUCCUGUGCCACCACGGGCUGGGCUCUGAGGACGACCUGGACACAAGCAGUCUGAACUCCUCAAGGUCCCAGACUUCUAGCUUUUUCACAAAUUCAUUCUUUUCAAACUAUACAGCCCCGUCUGCUACGGUGUCUUCAUUUCAGGGAGAGCUUCUGGGUCUAGAUCGGACCUUAGGAUCUGGAGCGCGGGCACAGGUGCAAAGUGAAAUAGCUUCAGCAAACACAGAAGAUGAUGAGGAGGAGGAGGAAGAUGAUGAUGAUGACGACGACGACGACGAUGAUGAUGAUGAUGAUGAUGAUGAGGAAAACUUGGAGGAUCGGACUCCUGGCCUCGCUAAAAAGGGAGUGAGAGCUUCUCUGUCUGACUUGUCAAGCCUUGACGAUGUGGAAGCGAUGAGCGUGCGCCAGCUGAAGGAAAUCCUGGCUCGGAAUUUUGUCAACUACUCUGGCUGUUGUGAAAAGUGGGAGCUAGUAGAGAAAGUAAACCGAUUAUACAAGGAGAAUGAAGAAAACCAAAAGUCAUAUGGCGAGCGGCUGCAGCUGCAGGAUGAGGAAGACGAUAGCCUGUGUCGGAUCUGCAUGGACGCUGUCAUCGACUGCGUCCUACUCGAGUGCGGACACAUGGUCACCUGCACCAAGUGUGGCAAGCGCAUGAGCGAGUGCCCCAUCUGCCGCCAGUACGUGGUGCGUGCUGUGCACGUGUUCAAGUCCUGAGGCUGGGCCCCCCCAACCCCUGCGGACGCUCGCCCCCCCACCCCCAGUCUUGGGGCCCAGAUGUCCCAGUGCACUGUAGGGACUGGGGACUCCCUGUUGAAGAGCCGGAGCUAUAUUAGAAAACUAUUUUCACUACUAACGGUGGAAUGGAAAAACUCAUCCUAAGUUGUGGCAACACUGGUCCAGGCCAUGGGCCAGUCAGCCUCAGGACAUGCUGCUUCCAGGUCCUGCCAGGCUUCUCUCAUUACUAAAUGCUGACGUCAGACUGCUUAUGGCAUCAGCUCCUGCUCCCUUUGUAGGACACUUCUCCUGUUCUUAUUUCUCCUUCAUCCUAUUUUUAACUGAAUCUACUCAGAUGUUGGAAAAUUCUGUUCUCUAGAGGAGAUCACUGUCUGCAAGCUGCCGACAUGGUACACAUCGGGCAGUGGUACUUCUGAAUGUUCCUGUUAUUAGUUGUGUGUAUUUUCAGUGCUACUAUUUGAUGAAUGUCUAGCUCUAAUCAGGGUGGUUUUUUUGGUUGAGUUGAGACCAACUGUGGAUUCAUUCUAAUUGUUUAUGGGCAGCCCCUCCUUUACCUCCUCUCUUGGCAGACCUGUGUGCUCCUGGAAACAUUACGGAGAAACGGGGCCCUCUUAACACUGAGAUUCUACCUGGAAACCACUGUUACCUCUACAACUGCCAAGGAAGGGAAUGCCUUUACUGGACAGCAGGGUAAUUCUUACUUGGAGCUUCACCGAACUCAGGAUGCCAAAUUGAAACUUGGGUUGGCCACGUGAAUGAUUAGGCUUGUAAAGUUUACUUCUCACUGGAAUCUAUGUCUGCCGCCUGGGGAAGUUGCCUCAUAACCAAGUGCCUUCAGCCAGCCCAGCCCAGGGUUACCAAUGCAGGAUGUGGCUCCCUGAGUUGCACUCAGUAGAGGAAAUAGACCCCAGUCCUGCCUUGGCAGUGGAGAUACCAAGUGCCCGUGGACAUUAUUUUGCCCAGCUGUGGUCAGAGGCACCAUUACAGGAAUGUCUUCUUGAUAAAAGGCCGCCUUAGAAAUGGUCCAGAAAGCAGUGCAGUUUUGAUUCAGAAAGACCCGAGGAAUGCGCCCGGCUCACUCAUCUCUGAAACGGGCGGCAGAACGGCUGCUCCCUCGGCCAGACUUGCAAAAUGGAAUCGUGCUGCGGUCUGUUGUUCCAAGUUCCAAAUGGAAAAUAAAAACCCUAGUUUUUGUAAA